AUGUGCUCUCUCUCUCCAAUGUCCUCUUUUUUCUCUUUCCCUCUUUCUUCUCCUCUUUUUCCCUCCCCCUCUCUUUCUCUCUCCUCUCUUCUCUCCCUCUCUCCCCUGCUUUCCCUCUGUCUCUCUCUUUCUCCUUCCCCUCUCUUCUCUCUCCUCUCUUCUCUCCCUCUCUCCCCUGCUUUCCCUCUGUCUGUCUGUCUCUCUCUUUCUUUCUCCUUCCCCUCUCUCCUCUUUUCUCUCCCUCUCUCCCCUGCUUUCCCUCUGUCUGUCUCUCUCUUUCUUUCUCCUUCCCCUCUCUUCUCUCUCCUCUCUUCUCUCCCUCUCUCCCCUGCUUUCCCUCUCUGUCUCUCUCUUUCUUUCUCCUUCCCCUCUCUUCUCUCUCCUCUUUUCUCUCCCUCUCUCCCCUGCUUUCCCUCUGUCUGUCUCUUUUUCUCUUUCUUUCUCUCUCUCCCUCCCUCCUCCAUCCACAUACGUCCCCAUGAGUUCAUCAAGGAACUUCUAGUGUGA
Molecule: long non-coding RNA, 507 nt
Filed under: Monodelphis domestica (gray short-tailed opossum)
Lineage: Eukaryota; Metazoa; Chordata; Mammalia; Didelphimorphia; Didelphidae
Description: lncRNA (ENSMODG00000036745.1)
Source: RNAcentral